ACGAACGCUGGCGGCGUGCUUAACACAUGCAAGUCGAGCGGUAAGGCCCUUUCGGGGGUACACGAGCGGCGAACGGGUGAGUAACACGUGGGUGACCUGCCCUUAGCUCUGGGAUAAGCCUGGGAAACUGGGUCUAAUACCGGAUAUGACUCCAUGACGCAUGUUGUGGGGUGGAAAGCCUUGUGCGGCUAGGGAUGGGCCCGCGGCCUAUCAGCUUGUUGGUGGGGUGAUGGCCUACCAAGGCGACGACGGGUAGCCGGCCUGAGAGGGCGACCGGCCACACUGGGACUGAGACACGGCCCAGACUCCUACGGGAGGCAGCAGUGGGGAAUCUUGCGCAAUGGGCGAAAGCCUGACGCAGCGACGCCGCGUGGGGAUGACGGCCUCGGUUGUAAC
Molecule: ribosomal RNA, 396 nt
Filed under: uncultured bacterium
Lineage: Bacteria
Description: bacterial SSU rRNA
Rfam family: Bacterial small subunit ribosomal RNA
Source: RNAcentral